GAGCAUCCUCAGUGUUCAGAGAUGGAGUUGGCAUUAGUCUGGCCAUUUCUAGGGCAAAGAGGCUGC
This 66-nucleotide microRNA precursor is filed under the name Chlorocebus sabaeus (green monkey). Its description in RNAcentral is "miRNA (ENSCSAG00000021611.1)". The record is from RNAcentral. Lineage: Eukaryota; Metazoa; Chordata; Mammalia; Primates; Cercopithecidae.